Molecule: ribosomal RNA, 460 nt
Filed under: uncultured bacterium
Lineage: Bacteria
Description: partial 16S ribosomal RNA
Rfam family: Bacterial small subunit ribosomal RNA
Source: RNAcentral
CCUACGGGAGGCAGCAGUGAGGAAUAUUGGUCAAUGGCCGGAAGGCUGAACCAGCCAUGCCGCGUGAAGGUCAGUGCCCUAUGGGCGUUAAACUUCUUUUGUGCGGGAGCAAUAAUGGUCACGUGUGGCCAGACGAGAGUACCGUACGAAUAAGCCUCGGCUAACUCCGUGCCAGCAGCCGCGGUAAUACGGGGGGUGCAAGCGUUAUCCGGAUUUAUUGGGUUUAAAGGGUGCGUAGGCUGUGAGGUAAGUCAGCGGUGAAAUGCCCCCGCUCAACGGGGUGAAGUGCCAUUGAUACUGGCUGGCUGGAAUGCGGAUGCGGUGGGAGGAAUGUGUGGUGUAGCGGUGAAAUGCAUAGAUAUCACACAGAACAUCGAUUGCGAAGGCAUCUCACGAAUCCGCGAUUGACGCUGAUGCACGAAAGCGUGGGUAUCAAACAGGAUUAGAUACCCCGGUAGUC